CCAGCAAGCUGAGUGAUUGCCGCCAAGUCUGACUUGGUGGAGGAAAGUCCGAACUCUCACUUCUUUUGAAGUUAAAAGGGUAGCGGGUAACGCCCGUCCGGAGUAAUCCGAGAGGUGCGAACAGUGACGAUGCCUCCGACGUCACGUCGGAGGAGUGAAACGGCUAAAUCCUUGCCUGGGAGCAAGAGCAAACCGGAAGUUCUGGGAUUCAUCUUGGAGCUUUCGUGAAAAGGUAGCUCGCUUGAGUCCGACGGCAACGUCGAACCCAGAUAGAUAAUCACAAUAAUCACCUUGAUUUUUCCAACACGGGGUGAUUAUAACAGAAUUCGGCUUACAGGCUUGCUGGGACA
This 350-nucleotide RNase P RNA is filed under the name Candidatus Nealsoniibacteriota bacterium. RNAcentral's name for it is "Candidatus Nealsonbacteria bacterium RNase P RNA component class A". It matches the Rfam family "Bacterial RNase P class A". Rfam says of the family: Ribonuclease P (RNase P) is a ubiquitous endoribonuclease, found in archaea, bacteria and eukarya as well as chloroplasts and mitochondria. Its best characterised activity is the generation of mature 5'-ends of tRNAs by cleaving the 5'-leader elements of precursor-tRNAs. Lineage: Bacteria; Candidatus Nealsoniibacteriota. The record is from RNAcentral.